GCAACAUAUUGGUGACCAGGAGAGAAGUGCAGAUUCUGUUGCCCGCACUACUGUGAGCCCUCCAAGGUCAGAAGAUGUUGGCCAGGAUGGCGUGAAAUCCCCAAGCUUAAGCUCCAGGAGCUACCUGAAGAGUGCAAGCAUUAGUGCCUCCAAGUGUGUCGUUGUCUCAAAUAAACACCCAGAGGUAAAUGCUGAACUACCUGAAUUCUUCUGGUGGCAAGUAGGCAAGAUGACACACUUGUGCACUGUCAAUAUCUUUUUUUCCGAUGGAUUUCACACUGUCAAUAUCAAGAAAGGAUGCGUGAACAGAACAUGUUCGAUUGAUUUGUUGCAUGCAAGUUGUCCCUUCUUUUGUUCACUUUAGAGAUUAGGUAGUGCCUCCACCACUGAUGUUUGGUUUCUCUGUUAGGAUGAUGAAAUCCCUGAGGAAAU
Molecule: long non-coding RNA, 432 nt
Filed under: Setaria italica (foxtail millet)
Lineage: Eukaryota; Viridiplantae; Streptophyta; Magnoliopsida; Poales; Poaceae
Description: long non-coding RNA (SITA_LNC003322)
Source: RNAcentral